Molecule: long non-coding RNA, 1119 nt
Filed under: Capra hircus (goat)
Lineage: Eukaryota; Metazoa; Chordata; Mammalia; Artiodactyla; Bovidae
Description: lncRNA (ENSCHIG00000006923.1)
Source: RNAcentral
GAUCCCCAAUGACUCAGCACAAUUCUCAACCAUAGGCUUCCUGAGGGUUGGAAUUGUUUCUUUGCAUUCGCAGAGUCAUACUCCCAGCCUCUCACAGAGGUACUGAAAUGUUUGUUGAAUGAGUCACUAACAGAACUGGGACUUUUAAGAAAGUGAAAAGCAAGAGGAAAACACCAUGUUUACAGAUCAAAGGCUUCUGGGGUCAGUGCUCACCAGGGCGGUUCUCUGGAAUGCACUUCCCUCUCUUAAACCCUUUUAGGUUUUAGAGAACCUUCUCCCCAACACAAACCCAGCUCUUGUUUCCACCCUCUCAUUUGGCUUCUAAGGCCUUCCAGUGUUUGGCUUUCAGAUCCCUAGGAUUAAGGGGUAGAAACAGACUUUAUUUCUUUACCAGAUGUUUCCACAAUAGAGGCUCUGCCUUUCCCAGGUCUCAGAGCAGCUGGCAGGCCAAGAGGACAGGAAUGAGUGGAGCCACCCUCGCAGCCCCUCAAAGGACCAUCCAGAAAGAGUUCUGUGCUCCAGCCACAGCUAAGGCCAGUGGGCACUUCCAUCCCAUCAUUGAUGGCCCCUCAGGGGCAAGAGAGCAGAGAAGACUGGGGUGGGAGGCAUGUCCUCCAGGAAAGUACCAGCCUGCGUGGAGGCCUCCUGGCCAGCUGGGCUUUUCACUGCUUUCGGUUUCAGCAGCUAGCCUGGUCUCUGUCCUUGACAUGUCUGAUCACCAGGUAAAGACUGGCUAAUACCUGCUGUGUCUUGUCUUUUUCCCUCCUGGAUACCUGGACUCACCAACUAGCCCUGCUGCUUCUAGGAGAUUUAAAGGGCCAGUACCAUAUUUCCCCAUUCUUUAUUUUUCACUUUUAAUCCUUUUGGAAGCCAGACAUUUAAGGUCUAGGAUAUUCAAAAGCAAGCAUAUAUAUGGGGGGGGGGGCGGAUUUAGAAAGGUACCACACAGAUCUUACAAGUACCUCUCAGACUGAUCCCUGGUGUGGAGACACCGUAUAACACAAACACACAUACACUGCAGCAAAUUCUAAAGAAGUGGCAGAAUCUGAUUUCCACAGCUACCACAUUAUAAGAUUCAAAUAUCCAUUUAAAUAAGUCACAAAGCGUACUAGAGACAGG